UACAGAGGUGCCAAGCGUUGUUCGGAUUUACUGGGCGUAAAGGGUGCGUAGGUGGUCAGGCAAGUCGAAUGUGAAAUCCUGCAGCUCAACUGCAGAACUGCAAUCGAAACUGCAAGACUAGAGGGCUGGAGAGGAGAUUGGAAUUCUCGGUGUAGCAGUGAAAUGCGUAGAUAUCGAGAGGAACACCAGUGGCGAAGGCGGAUCUCUGGACAGCAUCUGACACUGAGGCACGAAAGCCAGGGGAGCAAACGGG
Molecule: unclassified non-coding RNA, 253 nt
Filed under: uncultured Verrucomicrobiota bacterium
Lineage: Bacteria; Pseudomonadati; Verrucomicrobiota
Description: uncultured Verrucomicrobia bacterium contains 16S-23S intergenic spacer region
Rfam family: Bacterial small subunit ribosomal RNA
Source: RNAcentral